ACGGGGUGCAGCAGGCGCGAAAACUUUACAAUGCGGGCAACCGCGAUAAGGGGACCUCGAGUGCUGGGUUACAAACCUGGCUGUUGGGCUGCCUAAAAAGCAGUCUAUAGCAAGGGCCGGGCAAGACCGGUGCCAGCCGCCGCGGUAACACCGGCGGCUCAGAGUGGUAACCGCUAUUAUUGGGUCUAAAGGGUCUGUAGCCGGCCGACUAAGUCUCUUGGGAAAUCUGGCAUCUCAAGUGUCAGAGACUGCCAGGGGAUACUGGUCGGCUUGGGACCGGGAGAGGUGAGAGGUACCUCGGGGGUAGGGGUGAAAUCUUGUAAUCCUCGAGGGACCACCAGUGGCGAAGGCGUCUCACCAGAACGGAUCCGACGGCAAGGGACGAAAGCUAGGGGCACGAACCGGA
This 406-nucleotide ribosomal RNA is filed under the name uncultured Methanosaeta sp. RNAcentral describes it as "bacterial SSU rRNA". It matches the Rfam family "Archaeal small subunit ribosomal RNA", at positions 325 to 728 of the family's 1478-position model. The record is from RNAcentral. Lineage: Archaea; Methanobacteriati; Methanobacteriota; Methanomicrobia; Methanotrichales; Methanotrichaceae.